This 523-nucleotide ribosomal RNA is filed under the name uncultured bacterium. Its description in RNAcentral is "partial 16S ribosomal RNA". It matches the Rfam family "Bacterial small subunit ribosomal RNA", at positions 28 to 523 of the family's 1533-position model. The record is from RNAcentral.
GACGAACGCUGGCGGCGUGCCUAAUACAUGCAAGUCGAACGCUUUUUCUUUCAUCGGAGCUUGCUCCACCGAAAGAAAAAGAGUGGCGAACGGGUGAGUAACACGUGGGUAACCUGCCCAUCAGAAGGGGAUAACACUUGGAAACAGGUGCUAAUACCGUAUAACACUAUUUUCCGCAUGGAAGAAAGUUGAAAGGCGCUUUUGACUCACUGAUGGAUGGACCCGCGGUGCAUUAGCUAGUUGGUGAGGUAACGGCUCACAAAGGCAACGAUGCAUAGCCGACCUGAGAGGGUGAUCGGCCACACUGGGACUGAGACACGGCCCAGACUCCUACGGGAGGCAGCAGUAGGGAAUCUUCGGCAAUGGACGAAAGUCUGACCGAGCAACGCCGCGUGAGUGAAGAAGGUUUUCGGAUCGUAAAACUCUGUUGUUAGAGAAGAACAAGGAUGAGAGUAAAAUGUUCAUCCCUUGACGGUAUCUAACCAGAAAGCCACGGCUAACUACGUGCCAGCCGCCGCCGUAA